This is a small nuclear RNA of Fukomys damarensis (Damara mole-rat), 136 nucleotides long. Its record names the gene U1. It matches the Rfam family "U1 spliceosomal RNA". From Rfam's summary of the family: U1 is a small nuclear RNA (snRNA) component of the spliceosome (involved in pre-mRNA splicing). Its 5' end forms complementary base pairs with the 5' splice junction, thus defining the 5' donor site of an intron. Lineage: Eukaryota; Metazoa; Chordata; Mammalia; Rodentia; Bathyergidae. The record is from Ensembl.
AUACUUACCUGGCAGGGGAGAUACCAUGAUCGCAAAGGCAGUUUUCCCAGGGUGAGGCUUAUCCAUUACACUCUGCAUGCGCAGGCCCCUGCGAUUUCCCCAAAUGUGGGAAACUCAAUUGCAUAAUUUGUACUAC